RNAcentral lists this ribosomal RNA (250 nucleotides) under uncultured Oscillospiraceae bacterium. Its description in RNAcentral is "partial 16S ribosomal RNA". It matches the Rfam family "Bacterial small subunit ribosomal RNA", at positions 90 to 339 of the family's 1533-position model. Lineage: Bacteria; Bacillati; Bacillota; Clostridia; Eubacteriales; Oscillospiraceae. The record is from RNAcentral.
CUUUAGUGGCGGACUGGUGAGUAACACGUAAGCAACCUGCCUAUCAGAGGGGAACAACAGUUAGAAAUGACUGCUAAUACCGCAUAUGCCUAAGCAUCACAUGGUGCAAUAGGGAAAAGAGCAAUCUGCUGAUAGAUGGGCUUGCGUCUGAUUAGAUAGUUGGUGGGAUAACGGCCUACCAAGUCGACGAUCAGUAGCCGGACUGAGAGGUUGAACGGCCACAUUGGGACUGAGAUACGGCCCAGACUCC